AGAUUAAGUUAUUAAGGGCGCACGGUGGAUGCCUUGGCACUAGAAGCCGAUGAAGGACGUUACUAACGACGAUAUGCUUUGGGGAGCUGUAAGUAAGCUUUGAUCCAGAGAUUUCCGAAUGGGGAAACCCAGCAUGAGUUAUGUCAUGUUAUCGAUAUGUGAAUACAUAGCAUAUCAGAAGGCACACCCGGAGAACUGAAACAUCUUAGUACCCGGAGGAAGAGAAAGAAAAUUCGAUUCCCUUAGUAGCGGCGAGCGAAACGGGAAGAGCCCAAACCAACAAGCUUGCUUGUUGGGGUUGUAGGACACUCUAUACGGAGUUACAAAGGACGACAUUAGACGAAUCAUCUGGAAAGAUGAAUCAAAGAAGGUAAUAAUCCUGUAGUCGAAAAUGUUGUCUCUCUUGAGUGGAUCCUGAGUACGACGGAGCACGUGAAAUUC
Molecule: ribosomal RNA, 441 nt
Filed under: Staphylococcus aureus
Lineage: Bacteria; Bacillati; Bacillota; Bacilli; Caryophanales; Staphylococcaceae
Description: partial 23S ribosomal RNA
Rfam family: Bacterial large subunit ribosomal RNA
Source: RNAcentral